GCCUGGGCGGGGUGGAGGGCCCCGGCGCCUACCGGGAGCUGGGCCUGCUGAUCGUGGGCGGCAUCCGGGCG
This 71-nucleotide transfer RNA is filed under the name Kocuria turfanensis. Its description in RNAcentral is "tRNA-Gly". Lineage: Bacteria; Bacillati; Actinomycetota; Actinomycetes; Micrococcales; Micrococcaceae. The record is from RNAcentral.